GUAGUCCACGCUGUAAACGAUGAGUGCUAGAUGUUGGUGGAGGAAUCCAUCAGUGUCGCAGCUAACGCAUUAAGCACUCCGCCUGGGGAGUACGGUCGCAAGAUUAAAACUCAAAGGAAUUGACGGGGGCUCGAACAAGCGGUGGAGUAUGUGGUUUAAUUCGAAGCAACGCGAAAAACCUUACCAGCUCUUGACAUGGGAAUUAAGGGGGCCAGAGAUGGCCCCUGUCGGUUCGGCCGGAUUCCACACAGGUGCUGCAUGGCUGUCGUCAGCUCGUGUCGUGAGAUGUUGGGUUAAGUCCCGCAACGAGCGCAACCCUCAUCAUUAGUUGCCAUCAGGUUUGGCUGGGCACUUUAAUGAAACUGCCGGUGAUAAGCCGGA
This 381-nucleotide ribosomal RNA is filed under the name uncultured bacterium. Its description in RNAcentral is "bacterial SSU rRNA". It matches the Rfam family "Bacterial small subunit ribosomal RNA", at positions 790 to 1167 of the family's 1533-position model. The record is from RNAcentral.